AUUGAACGCUGGCGGCAGGCCUAACACAUGCAAGUCGAACGGUAACCGGAAGAAGCUUGCUUCUUUUCUGACGAGUGGCGGAAGGGUGAGUUAUGUUUGGGAAACUUCCUGAUGGAGGGGGAUAACUACUGGAAACGGUAUCUAAUACCGCAUAACGUCGAAAGACCAAAGAGGGGGACCUUCUGGCCUGUUGCCAUCGGAUGUGCCCAGAUGGGCUUCGCUAGGAGGUGGGGUCACGGCACACCUCGGCGACGUUCCUUAGCUGGUCUGAGCGGAUGACCAGACAGAUUGGAAGAGAGGAAGGGUCCAGACUCCUACGGGAGGCAGCAGUGGGGAAUAUUGCGGGAUGGGGGCAAGCCUGAUGCAGCAAUGCCGCGUGUAUGAAGAAGGCGUUCGGGUUGUAAAGUGAUUACAGCGGGGAGGAAGGGAGGAAAGUUAAUACCUGUACACAUUGACGUUACCCGCAGAAGAAGCACCGGCUAACUCCGUG
Molecule: ribosomal RNA, 490 nt
Filed under: uncultured bacterium
Lineage: Bacteria
Description: partial 16S ribosomal RNA
Rfam family: Bacterial small subunit ribosomal RNA
Source: RNAcentral